GACCUGCGGAGGAUCAUUACCGAGUGAGGGCCCUCUGGGUCCAACCUCCCACCCAUGUUUAUUGUACCUUGUUGCUUCGGCGGGCCCGCCUCACGGCCGCCGGGGGGCUUCUGCCCUCUGGCCCGCGCCCGCCGAAGACACCAUUGAACACUGUCUGAAGAUUGCAGUCUGAGCAAUUAGCUAAAUAAGUUAAAACUUUCAACAACGGAUCUCUUGGUUCCGGCAUCGAUGAAGAACGCAGCGAAAUGCGAUACGUAAUGUGAAUUGCAGAAUUCAGUGAAUCAUCGAGUCUUUGAACGCACAUUGCGCCCCUUGGUAUUCCGGGGGGCAUGCCUGUCCGAGCGUCAUUGCUGCCCUCAAGCACGGCUUGUGUGUUGGGCCCCGUCCUCCUUCCCGGGGGACGGGCCCGAAAGGCAGCGGCGGCACCGCGUCCGGUCCUCGAGCGUAUGGGGCUUUGUCACCCGCUCUUGUAGGCCCGGCCGGCGCUUGCCGACAACCAUCAAUCUUUUUUCAGGUUGACCUCGGAUCAGGUAGGGAUACCCGCUGAACUUAAGCAUAUCAAUAAGCGGAGGAAAAGAAACCAACAGGGAUUGCCUCAGUAACGGCGAGUGAAGCGGCAAGAGCUCAAAUUUGAAAGCUGGCCCCCUCGGGGUCCGCAUUGUAAUUUGCAGAGGAUGCUUCGGGAGUGGCCCCCAUCUAAGUGCUCUGGAACGGGCCGUCAUAGAGGG
RNAcentral lists this ribosomal RNA (728 nucleotides) under fungal sp. Its description in RNAcentral is "eukaryotic LSU rRNA". The stretch from base 517 to 728 matches the Rfam family "Eukaryotic large subunit ribosomal RNA", at positions 1 to 212 of the family's 3401-position model. Lineage: Eukaryota; Fungi. The record is from RNAcentral.